CCUACGGGUGGCAGCAGUGAGGAAUAUUGGUCAAUGGGCGAGAGCCUGAACCAGCCAAGUCGCGUGAAGGAUGAAGGAUCUAUGGUUUGUAAACUUCUUUUAUAUGGGAAUAAAAUGUUCCACGUGUGGGAUUUUGUAUGUACCAUAUGAAUAAGGAUCGGCUAACUCCGUGCCAGCAGCCGCGGUAAUACGGAGGAUCCGAGCGUUAUCCGGAUUUAUUGGGUUUAAAGGGAGCGUAGGUGGAUUGUUAAGUCAGUUGUGAAAGUUUGCGGCUCAACCGUAAAAUUGCAGUUGAAACUGGCAGUCUUGAGUACAGUAGAGGUGGGCGGAAUGCGUGGUGUAGCGGUGAAAUGCUUAGAUAUCACGAAGAACUCCGAUUGCGAAGGCAGCUCACUGGACUGCAACUGACACUGAGGCUCGAAAGUGUGGGUAUCAAACAGGAUUAGAUACCCUGGUAGUC
Molecule: ribosomal RNA, 460 nt
Filed under: uncultured bacterium
Lineage: Bacteria
Description: partial 16S ribosomal RNA
Rfam family: Bacterial small subunit ribosomal RNA
Source: RNAcentral